GAUGAAGAACGUAGCAAAAUGCGAUACUUGGUGUGAAUUGCAGAAUCCCGUGAACCAUCGAGUUUUUGAACGCAAGUUGCGCCCGAAGCCUUUUGGCCGAGGGCACGUCUGCCUGGGCGUCACGCAUCGCGUCGCCCCCCACAACUCUCCGUAAAGGGAACUUGUGUUUUGGGGGCGGAUAUUGGUCUCCCGUGCUCAUGGCGUGGUUGGCCGAAAUAGGAGUCCCUCCGGUGGACGCACGAACUAGUGGUGGUCGUAAAAACCCUCGUCUUUUGUUUCGUGCCGUUAGUCGCGAGGGAAACUCUUUAAAAACCCAAAUGUGUCAUCUCUUGACGGCGCUUCGACCGCGACCCCAGGUCAGGCGGGACUACCCGCUGAGUUUAAGCAUAUCAAUAAGCGGAGGA
This 404-nucleotide unclassified non-coding RNA is filed under the name soil metagenome. RNAcentral describes it as "partial contains 5.8S ribosomal RNA, internal transcribed spacer 2, and large subunit ribosomal RNA". The stretch from base 1 to 122 matches the Rfam family "5.8S ribosomal RNA", at positions 35 to 154 of the family's 154-position model. The record is from RNAcentral.